AUUGAACGCUGGCGGAAUGCUUUACACAUGCAAGUCGAACGGCAGCGCGGGGGCAGCCCUGGUGGCGAGUGGCGAACGGGUGAGUAAUACAUCGGAACGUGCCCGGUCGUGGGGGAUAACGUAGCGAAAGUUACGCUAAUACCGCAUACGAUCUGAGGAUGAAAGCGGGGGACCUUCGGGCCUCGCGCGUUCGGAGCGGCCGAUGUCAGAUUAGGUAGUUGGUGGGGUAAAGGCCUACCAAGCCGACGAUCUGUAGCUGGUCUGAGAGGACGACCAGCCACACUGGGACUGAGACACGGCCCAGACUCCUACGGGAGGCAGCAGUGGGGAAUUUUGGACAAUGGGCGCAAGCCUGAUCCAGCCAUUCCGCGUGCAGGACGAAGGCCUUCGGGUUGUAAACUGCUUUUGUACGGAACGAAAAGGCUCUGGCUAAUACCUGGGGCUCAUGACGGUACCGGAAGAAUAAGCACCGGCUAACUACGUG
Molecule: ribosomal RNA, 484 nt
Filed under: uncultured bacterium
Lineage: Bacteria
Description: partial 16S ribosomal RNA
Rfam family: Bacterial small subunit ribosomal RNA
Source: RNAcentral